Non-coding RNA from Colius striatus (speckled mousebird), 106 nucleotides. The record is from Rfam. Lineage: Eukaryota; Metazoa; Chordata; Aves; Coliiformes; Coliidae.
AGAUGGUUUCAAAUGUUUUAUUACUAAAAUUGGAAUGAUACAGAGAAGAUUAGCAUGGUCCCUGCGCAAGGAUGACACACAAAUUCGUGACACAUUCCACCACCUC